RNAcentral lists this ribosomal RNA (463 nucleotides) under uncultured bacterium. RNAcentral's name for it is "bacterial SSU rRNA". It matches the Rfam family "Bacterial small subunit ribosomal RNA", at positions 1 to 507 of the family's 1533-position model. The record is from RNAcentral.
ACACGACUGAGUUUGAUCAUGGCUCAGAACGAACGCUGGCGGCAUGCCUAACACAUGCAAGUCGAACGAGACCUUCGGGUCUAGUGGCGCACGGGUGCGUAACGCGUGGGAAUCUGCCCUUCGGUUCGGAAUAACUCAGGGAAACUUGAGCUAAUACCGGAUAAUGACGUAAGUCCAAAGAUUUAUCGCCGAAGGAUGAGCCCGCGUAGGAUUAGCUUGUUGGUGGGGUAAUGGCCCACCAAGGCGACGAUCCUUAGCUGGUCUGAGAGGAUGAUCAGCCACACUGGGACUGAGACACGGCCCAGACUCCUACGGGAGGCAGCAGUGGGGAAUAUUGGACAAUGGGCGAAAGCCUGAUCCAGCAAUGCCGCGUGAGUGAUGAAGGCCUUAGGGUUGUAAAGCUCUUUUACCCGGGUAUGAUAAUGACAGUACCGGGAGGAAUAAGACUCCGGCUAACUCCGUG